This 478-nucleotide ribosomal RNA is filed under the name uncultured bacterium. RNAcentral describes it as "SSU rRNA". It matches the Rfam family "Bacterial small subunit ribosomal RNA", at positions 26 to 518 of the family's 1533-position model. The record is from RNAcentral.
AGGACGAACGCUGGCGGCGUGCUUAACACAUGCAAGUCGAGCGAGGCCCUUCCUUCGGGAAGGUGCCCUAGCGGCGAACGGGUGAGUAACACGUGGGCAACCUGCCCCUAGCACUGGGAUAACUCCGGGAAACCGGGGCUAAUACCGGAUAUGACCUUUGAAGGCAUCUUCGAAGGUGUAAAGGAUUCUGGCUAGGGAUGGGCCCGCGGCCUAUCAGCUUGUUGGUGGGGUAAUGGCCUACCAAGGCGACGACGGGUAGCCGGCCUGAGAGGGCGACCGGCCACACUGGGACUGAGACACGGCCCAGACUCCUACGGGAGGCAGCAGUGGGGAAUAUUGCACAAUGGGCGAAAGCCUGAUGCAGCGACGCCGCGUGAGGGACGACUGCCUUCGGGUUGUAAACCUCUUUCAGCUCCGACGAAGCGAAAGUGACGGUAGGAGCAGAAGAAGCACCGGCCAACUACGCGCCAGCAGCCGC